UACGGGGGGGGCAAGCGUUGUUCGGAAUUACUGGGCGUAAAGGGCUCGUAGGCGGAUAACUCAGUCAGACGUGAAAUCCCUCGGCUUAACCGGGGAACUGCAUCUGAUACUGGAUGGCUUGAGAUUGGGAGAGGGAUGCGGAAUUCCAGGUGUAGCGGUGAAAUGCGUAGAUAUCUGGAGGAACACCGGUGGCGAAGGCGGCAUCCUGGACCAACACUGACGCUGAGGAGCGAAAGCCAGGGGAGCAAACGGG
Molecule: ribosomal RNA, 253 nt
Filed under: uncultured bacterium
Lineage: Bacteria
Description: partial 16S ribosomal RNA
Rfam family: Bacterial small subunit ribosomal RNA
Source: RNAcentral